CUAAUUCGAUAAACAAGAGGCGAAGUUGCCAACGCCUGAGAUAGUGGUUCCUACCUCUGGCCUUCGCACCUUUAGUUCCGCAAGUAGUUAAGCAACUCAAAUGGCCAGCGAUUUGCUUUCUCCUUGGUUUACAGUGGCUGCAGCCUCCUAUUUGUGACGUCGUAGCCCCAAAGUGGUACAUGUGUGAUCUUCAUGGAGCUAGCCAUCAUUGGAUUUGGUAAUACAUAAUCACUUAUUCAGAGAGCCCAAGGUGAGAAGGGACGAGCAUCUAGAACACCACCACCUACUAAUCAGUGAGCUACUAUCCGCCUUUGAAUGAGUUACUUAACAAGAGAAGGCAGGAGUUUCCUACCUUUCUUCUGCAAAUCUGGAAUGCCUUUAUGGCAUGAUCAUGUGAAAAAAGUACCUUGAUGCAGUAAUGGAUUUGAUUAUCACUGGUUACUCUGUUUUCACGAAUUACUAUCCAACUGUAAGUCUGUUCUAUACCCUAAGGCCCAUGUAAAUCUGAUAGAAGAUUAAGCUAUUUAAUUUUAACUAAAAAGGAUAAUAUUCUUUCAGUCGCUUGAAUCUGUCCAGACCUGAAAAAUACUUAUACUUUGAAAGCUUUAUAUAUGAGUAUGUAAUUUUACAGGUAUG
Long non-coding RNA from Triticum aestivum (bread wheat), 636 nucleotides. RefSeq lists it as uncharacterized. NCBI's taxonomy places the organism in Eukaryota, Viridiplantae, Streptophyta, Magnoliopsida, Poales, Poaceae. The record is from RefSeq and is a predicted model, not a curated record. The transcript has 4 exons.